Molecule: ribosomal RNA, 962 nt
Filed under: uncultured Clostridium sp.
Lineage: Bacteria; Bacillati; Bacillota; Clostridia; Eubacteriales; Clostridiaceae
Description: bacterial SSU rRNA
Rfam family: Bacterial small subunit ribosomal RNA (bases 1-842)
Source: RNAcentral
GAUGAACGCUGACAGAAUGCUUAACACAUGCAAGUCAACUUGAAUUUGGGUUUUUAACUUAAGUUUGGGUGGCGGACGGGUGAGUAACGCGUAAAGAACUUGCCUCACAGCUAGGGACAACAUUUGGAAACGAAUGCUAAUACCUAAUAUUAUGAUAAUAGGGCAUCCUAUAAUUAUGAAAGCUAUAAGCGCUGUGAGAGAGCUUUGCGUCCCAUUAGCUAGUUGGAGAGGUAACGGCUCACCAAGGCGAUGAUGGGUAGCCGGCCUGAGAGGGUGAUCGGCCACAAGGGGACUGAGACACGGCCCUUACUCCUACGGGAGGCAGCAGUGGGGAAUAUUGGACAAUGGACCAAGAGUCUGAUCCAGCAAUUCUGUGUGCACGAUGAAGUUUUUCGGAAUGUAAAGUGCUUUCAGUUGGGAAGAAAGAAAUGACGGUACCAACAGAAGAAGUGACGGCUAAAUACGUGCCAGCAGCCGCGGUAAUACGUAUGUCACGAGCGUUAUCCGGAUUUAUUGGGCGUAAAGCGCGUCUAGGUGGUUAUGUAAGUCUGAUGUGAAAAAUGCAGGGCUCAACUCUGUAUUGCGUUGGAAACUGUAUAACUAUAGUACUGGAGAGGUAAGCGGAACUACAAGUGUAGAGGUGAAAUUCGUAGAUAUUUGUAGGAAUGCCGAUGGGUAAGCCAGCUUACUGGAAGAUACUGACGCUGAAGCGCUAAAGCGUGGGUAGCAAACAGGAUUAAAAUACCCUGGUAUCCAAGGUCGAAUUCCACAUUGGAUAUUGUGCUUAUCUAUACCGUCGACCUCAGGGGGGCCCCUGUAACCAAUUUUUGUUCCCCUUUAUAAGUGUUAUUUAAUUUCUGUUUUUUUCGGUGAUAUGUGUUUGUGUUGUUUUUCUGUGUUGCCUUGGCUCUGUGUGUGUCGUUUCUGCUGUGUUGUUUUUGAUGUAUGUAUUCUAAUGCGUG